Molecule: ribosomal RNA, 253 nt
Filed under: uncultured bacterium
Lineage: Bacteria
Description: partial 16S ribosomal RNA
Rfam family: Bacterial small subunit ribosomal RNA
Source: RNAcentral
UACGUAGGGUGCAAGCGUUGUCCGGAAUCAUUGGGCGUAAAGAGCGCGUAGGCGGUCCGGUAAGUCCGCUCUGAAAGCCCGGGGCUCAACCCCGGGAGGCGGGUGGAUACUGUCAAGCUCGAGUCCGGAAGAGGAGUGUGGAAUUCCUGGUGUAGCGGUGAAAUGCGCAGAUAUCAGGAGGAACACCGGUGGCGAAGGCGGGUCUCUGGGCCGAAAUUGACGCUGAGGAGCGAAAGCGUGGGGAGCAAACAGG